GAAACUCAAACGCAAUUUAACUUCCAAAUACUCGUUUUUUUUUUCAACUUUAACUAAAUAACGUCCAAACUGAUACCGGUCUUUCCGAGUCAUUUACUUUACAACAACAACAACAACCCAGUAUAAUCCCAUUUAGUGGGGUCUGGGGAGGCUGUUUCUGAGGCAUUUACUUCUAUAAACAAUGCCCAGAAAACAUGAGGAGCAUAGGAGCAUCUUUCUUCU
Molecule: long non-coding RNA, 222 nt
Filed under: Nicotiana benthamiana
Lineage: Eukaryota; Viridiplantae; Streptophyta; Magnoliopsida; Solanales; Solanaceae
Description: long non-coding RNA (NBEN_LNC026556)
Source: RNAcentral